This is a long non-coding RNA of Oreochromis niloticus (Nile tilapia), 1259 nucleotides long. RefSeq lists it as uncharacterized. The transcript has 2 exons. The record is from RefSeq and is a predicted model, not a curated record. Lineage: Eukaryota; Metazoa; Chordata; Actinopteri; Cichliformes; Cichlidae.
AGAAAAUGCUGACAUUGGGUUUCUGUGUCAUUUGAAGGUGAUUAGAGUGAGUCAAAACAGGUUUUUAUUUUUAGAUAAAACUGUAUGAUGAAAUAUAUUCUCCAUACUGGUAGUAAUCACUGAAAGAAGAGAAACGAGUGAGCAGCAGAAGAGGCUAAACCGUUAAGUAAUGUUGGAGGGAAGAGGCUGAAGUUGGCCUCUAGUGCAGGGUUGUCAAACUCCGGUCCUCAAGAGCUACUGUCCUGCAGCUUUUAGAUGCAUCCCUGUUCCGACACACCUGAACCAAAUACAUGGCUUGUUACCAGGCCUUCGCCGAACUUGAUGGGACGCUGAAGAGGGAGACACGAGGAAACUUUGACGUCGCUGUCUGCACACGGAGCUCUCCGAGGGAUCUUCCUGGAAUGGUGACGCUGUUUUCGGAGAACCGAUUGAUCAUAAAACGCUGAAUUCAUUCCUACUUGUUGAUCAGGCUAAACAACCUGUUUCGGAGCAGCUUAUUUUCAGCAUAAAGAGCGCUUUAGCGAUGUGCACAGAUACGAAUUGAGAUACCUGGACAAGGGAAAAGACGAAAUAUUUCGGUAACGCCAGGGUUAACCCUUGGUUUUGUGCGCUACAGUGGUGGUUCACCUCUUAUCGAGGUAACAAACUAAAGCAGUUUCCACGCCUGCUUUAUUAGGUUACUGUUGCUCACCUUUGAUGUUAAAAGUGAAUGUGAAUGCAGUUUUAGGGCUCUAAUGUGCAGCCGCCACGUCGCAUUUAACGUUAUUGCGCCAUAGCUUAAUAAAGCAGACGUGCAAAUCACUUUAGCUUCUCAACACUUCAAGGUCAUAUUAAUUUAACUGAUUGAUGAGGUGUGGUAUGUCAGGCAGAAAAAGAUAAACGACCAUGGCUCCAUGGGCCACAGAUAUGCGCUCUGUGCCUUCAGUGUAGUGGCAGCCAUCCAAAGUGAAUCUUGUAAUAUGUUAUCAUUCAUGUCAAUGAAAAUAUCAUACGUGGCUCGUCCACUGACAGGUUUUAAAGUGUGCUGCAUCAAAGCAUCUAAACUUAUUUUCUGUGAUUUUUAUUUUAUUUUUUGGCUAAACGGUUAUUGUUUUUCCUCCUCCUCUUGGGCACCAUGUCUCUCCUGUCUCUCCCUCCACCCUGUUAUUAAGAGGUUGGGGAGAAUCCACAUUUGGUAACGGUAUAACACGCUGCUUAGUGAUGUGAAUCCAUCAUCAUGAAUGUGGGCAAACAGAGGGUGCCUUGGCUUUACUAUGGAU